CCCUUAGAUGUUCUGGGCAGCACGCGCGCUACAAUGGUCUUCGCAAACGGAUGCAUUCUCGAAGGAGAAUGCCAAUCUUGGAAUCUAUGCCUUGGUCGGGACAGUUGCUUGCAAUUUUUCGACUCGAACCAGGAAUUCCUUGUAAUCGUGAUUCAUCACAUCACGAUGAAUACGUCCCUGCCCUUUGUACACACCGCCCGUCGCUCCUACCGAUCGAAAAGUUAGGUGAAUUGUUUUGAUCGAUAAGAUUUGACUAUGGUCAACUCUCGUUGUGAAAUUCUGUGAAUCUGACUGUUUAGAGGAAGGAAAAGUCGUAACA
This 319-nucleotide ribosomal RNA is filed under the name uncultured eukaryote. Its description in RNAcentral is "partial 18S ribosomal RNA". It matches the Rfam family "Eukaryotic small subunit ribosomal RNA", at positions 1470 to 1796 of the family's 1831-position model. The record is from RNAcentral.